AUUGAACGCUGGCGGCAGGCCUAACACAUGCAAGUCGAGCGGAUGAAGGGAGCUUGCUCCUGGAUUCAGCGGCGGACGGGUGAGUAAUGCCUAGGAAUCUGCCUGGUAGUGGGGGAUAACGUCCGGAAACGGGCGCUAAUACCGCAUACGUCCUGAGGGAGAAAGUGGGGGAUCUUCGGACCUCACGCUAUCAGAUGAGCCUAGGUCGGAUUAGCUAGUUGGUGGGGUAAAGGCCUACCAGGGCGACGAUCCGUAACUGGUCUGAGAGGAUGAUCAGUCACACUGGAACUGAGACGCGGUCCAGACUCCUACGGGAGGCAGCAGUGGGGAAUAUUGGACAAUGGGCGAAAGCCUGAUCCAGCCAUGCCGCGUGUGUGAAGAAGGUCUUCGGAUUGUAAAGCACUUUAAGUUGGGAGGAAGGGCAGUAAGUUAAUACCUUGCUGUUUUGACGUUACCAACAGAAUAAGCACCGGCUAACUUCGUG
Molecule: ribosomal RNA, 484 nt
Filed under: uncultured bacterium
Lineage: Bacteria
Description: partial 16S ribosomal RNA
Rfam family: Bacterial small subunit ribosomal RNA
Source: RNAcentral